AAAUGGAUGGUUCUUUGAAAUAGAUUGCUCGCAUAACCCGCGCAAAAUGUUGGGUGAAAUCGAUAAGGACAUCAUCUAAACCUUGUUUCCUUACAGUUGGCUAUGAUAUUGUCCAAUUGUCGAUCAAAGGCGUGAUCCUCUGAUUGUUCACCUUGCUUUGUUUACUGGACUGUGCGUUUGUCUUUGGUGCGGGGAUUAGAAGAGGGGAGCCCAACUUAACAUGAAUGUCUUUGGAGGACGCCGCUGGCCUAAAUCUGUCUUUGACAGGCGUUGCAACCAGAAGGAUGGAUGUCCGGAGAGGGUGCACUUGCCGAGAAUUCGUUCCCCGCGGGUGCAUUUGCCACUGGUUCAUCUCCCGUAGGCUUCCUGG
This is a long non-coding RNA of Dendronephthya gigantea, 370 nucleotides long. RefSeq lists it as uncharacterized. Lineage: Eukaryota; Metazoa; Cnidaria; Anthozoa; Malacalcyonacea; Nephtheidae. The transcript is spliced from 3 exons. The record is from RefSeq and is a predicted model, not a curated record.